Molecule: ribosomal RNA, 912 nt
Filed under: uncultured bacterium
Lineage: Bacteria
Description: bacterial SSU rRNA
Rfam family: Bacterial small subunit ribosomal RNA
Source: RNAcentral
AGAGUUUGAUCAUGGCUCAGAUUGAACGCUGGCGGCAGGCUUAACACAUGCAAGUCGAGCGGGGGAAAGUAGCUUGCUACUGGACCUAGCGGCGGACGGGUGAGUAAUGCUUAGGAAUCUGCCUAUUAGUGGGGGACAACAUUCCGAAAGGAAUGCUAAUACCGCAUACGUCCUACGGGAGAAAGCAGGGGACCUUCGGGCCUUGCGCUAAUAGAUGAGCCUAAGUCGGAUUAGCUAGUUGGUGGGGUAAAGGCCUACCAAGGCGACGAUCUGUAGCGGGUCUGAGAGGAUGAUCCGCCACACUGGGACUGAGACACGGCCCAGACUCCUACGGGAGGCAGCAGUGGGGAAUAUUGGACAAUGGGGGGAACCCUGAUCCAGCCAUGCCGCGUGUGUGAAGAAGGCCUUAUGGUUGUAAAGCACUUUAAGCGAGGAGGAGGCUACUAGUAUUAAUACUACUGGAUAGUGGACGUUACUCGCAGAAUAAGCACCGGCUAACUCUGUGCCAGCAGCCGCGGUAAUACAGAGGGUGCGAGCGUUAAUCGGAUUUACUGGGCGUAAAGCGUGCGUAGGCGGCCAUUUAAGUCAAAUGUGAAAUCCCCGAGCUUAACUUGGGAAUUGCAUUCGAUACUGGAUGGCUAGAGUAUGGGAGAGGAUGGUAGAAUUCCAGGUGUAGCGGUGAAAUGCGUAGAGAUCUGGAGGAAUACCGAUGGCGAAGGCAGCCAUCUGGACUAAUACUGACGCUGAGGUACGAAAGCAUGGGGAGCAACAGGAUUAGAUACCCUGGUAGUCCAUGCCGUAAACGAUGUCUACUAGCCGUUGGGCCUUUGAGGCUUUAGUGGCGCAGCUAACGCGAUAAGUAGACCGCCUGGGGAGUACGGUCGCAAGACUAAAACUCAAAUGAAUUGACGG